UACAGAGGCCCCGAGCGUUAGUCGGAAUUACUGGGCUUAAAGGGUGCGUAGGCGGGCGUGUAAGUGUUCCGUGAAAGCCCCGGGCUCAACCCGGGAACCGCGGGGCAUACUGCACGUCUUGAGGUAGCUAGAGGCCGGUGGAACGAUCGGUGGAGCGGUGGAAUGCGUAGAGAUCGAUCGGAACGACAAGGGUGAAGACAACCGGCUGGGGCUUACCUGACGCUGAGGCACGAAAGCGUGGGGAUCAAACAGG
This 253-nucleotide ribosomal RNA is filed under the name uncultured bacterium. RNAcentral describes it as "partial 16S ribosomal RNA". It matches the Rfam family "Bacterial small subunit ribosomal RNA", at positions 524 to 776 of the family's 1533-position model. The record is from RNAcentral.